Molecule: long non-coding RNA, 1139 nt
Filed under: Gallus gallus (chicken)
Lineage: Eukaryota; Metazoa; Chordata; Aves; Galliformes; Phasianidae
Source: RNAcentral
CUGGAUGUACCCACGGGUCUCCUGGAAGGCUUUUCGCUGCGCCACCUCCGCAGGGUAAUGGGUGCAGACCCCCACCACGUUGGUGCAGAGGAAGAUGAGGGCGUUGGCGCUGAGCUGCCGCCACAGCAGCGGCUCGUCGGCGCACAGAUGCCACGUGACGCCGAGCUGCAGCGCGGCCAGCAGCGCCCCGGCCAGCACGGCGGCGCGCAUGCGCACGGGCAGCAGCGCGUAGGCGGCGUAGAUGCAGAGCACGCCCCACCAAACGCCCUCCGCCGCCCCGCGCGGGGCCACCGCGGCCGCUCCCAGCAGCGGCACCGCCGCCAGCAGCCCCAGAGCCGCGUAGCUCAGAGCGCGCACCGCCUCCCGCGGGAACGCGCCCCGCCCGCACAGCACCGCCAGCAGCGCCGCCGCCGCCGCCGCCGCGCUCAGCGCCGCCGCCACCGCCGCGUUGGGGGCGCCGGGCGCGCAGUGCAGCGCCAGCAGCAGAGCGCACAGCAGCGCCUGCAGCCCCAGCAGCACCGCCAGGCGGCGCCGGUCGAGCUGAGCGAAGUAGCGCUGGUAGAGCAGCUCCAGUUUGAGCGACGGGAAACGCCGGGAGCGGAACAGCCGCGGGGCGCGGAGCGGCGCCGUCGGCCGGGGGGGAUCCGCGCCGUCCUCCGCCGCUCCGCCGUCCGCCCGCGGAGGUCCCCGGGGGCGUCGCGGCGGAGGCGGCCGCAGAGCGCGGCGGGGCGGGGCGGCGGUUUGGGGCCGUUGCGGUCCCCCCACGCCGUCUUCCGGUCGUCCGCUUUGGGGGCCAGGAGGGCGCUGAACCACGACAUGCUCCGGCCCCGCACCGCCCCUCUGCUACGCGGCCGUCCGCCCCAUCGCGAUCCCCAUCGCCGGUCCCGGUCCGCCCGCACCGCCCCGCACCGCCCUCCGCCCGGAUCCUCUCCCGGGCGCUCCCGGUCGCGGCCUUAAAGGCGCAGCGGCGGUGCGGUGCGGUGCGGCCCGGUCCGGCGCGGGGGGGUCCGGUGCUGCGGGGGAGGCGCGGGCGGAGCGCUCGGUGCGGGCACACGCGCGGGAGUGACAUGGCGGGGACACGGGGACACGCGCGGCCCUUUGUGCGCGGCCCCGACGCACUCAGACCCCCCCCCAAUGGG